RNAcentral lists this ribosomal RNA (260 nucleotides) under uncultured bacterium. RNAcentral describes it as "partial 16S ribosomal RNA". It matches the Rfam family "Bacterial small subunit ribosomal RNA", at positions 57 to 305 of the family's 1533-position model. The record is from RNAcentral.
GCAAGUCGCACGAGAAAGUUCCUUCGGGAGCGAGUAGAGCGGCGCACGGGUGAGUAACGCGUGGAUGAUCUACCCCCGAGACUGGGAUAACAGUUGGAAACGACUGCUAAUACCAGAUGUUCUUCAUUUUUCAACUUUUGAGGUAAAGGUGGCCUCUAUUUAUAAGCUACCGCUUGGGGAUGAGUCCGCGUUUCAUUAGAUUGUUGGUGGGGUAAUGGCCUACCAAGUCUACGAUGAAUAGCUGGUCUGAGAGGAUGAUC